CCUACGUGAGGCAGCAGUGAGGAAUAUUGGUCAAUGGGCGGAAGCCUGAACCAGCCAAGUCGCGUGAGGGAUGAAGGUCCUAUGGAUCGUAAACCGCUUUUGCCGGGGAGUAAGGCCCUCCACUUGUGGCGGGCAGGAGAGUCCCCGCAGAAAAAGCAUGGCCUAAGUCCGUGCCAGCAGCCGCGGUAAUACGGAGGCCGCGAGCGUUAUCCGGAUUUAUGGGGUUUAAAGGGUGCGUAGGCGGAAGGUUAAGUCAGCGGUAAAAUGCCGGUGCUCAACACCGGCCUGCCGUUGAAACUGGUCGUCUUGAGUGAGCAAGAGGUAUGCGGAAUGCGUGGUGUAGCGGUGAAAUGCAUAGAUAUCACGCAGAACUCCGAUUGCGAAGGCAGCAUGCCGGCGCUCAACUGACGCUGAGGCACGAAGGUGUGGGGAUCGAACAGGAUUAGAUACCCGGGUAGUC
RNAcentral lists this ribosomal RNA (460 nucleotides) under uncultured bacterium. Its description in RNAcentral is "partial 16S ribosomal RNA". It matches the Rfam family "Bacterial small subunit ribosomal RNA", at positions 338 to 795 of the family's 1533-position model. The record is from RNAcentral.